AAUAAGACAAUUUUUCAGUUUUUUAUAUAAUGUUUUGACUUUUCGUCUUAUUUGAAUUUUUUGCGAUUAAUACUUUUAUUCUUACUAGAUGAUAAAACAUGAAUAGUACUUUAUGUGUGACUAUUUUUUUUAAAGUUUUUUACAAAUUUUUCAAAUAAGACGAAUGGUCAAACGUUGGACACGGAAAAAC
RNAcentral lists this microRNA precursor (190 nucleotides) under Oryza brachyantha (malo sina). RNAcentral describes it as "MIR812 microRNA precursor family". It matches the Rfam family "MIR812 microRNA precursor family". The record is from Rfam by way of RNAcentral. Lineage: Eukaryota; Viridiplantae; Streptophyta; Magnoliopsida; Poales; Poaceae.